UAGUUUUGGACGAUUCUCGAAGGCACCGAUCUGAUUUCUGAUUCCAAAAAAGUGGAAUUGAUGAUUUUUGGUUCCACAUGAAACCACCCGUCCGGAUCGGAUGAUAAUCUUUAUUUUUGGAACCUAAGUAUCGUACUCUCUCUCUCUCUCUCUCUGCGCGAGGCCUCCCGCAUUUUGUCACUUGACAUGCGAGUCGCAGCUGCUCUCCCACCGUUCAUGUUCGGUCACCGUUCUCUCUCUCUCUCUCUCUCUCUCUCUCUGACUCCGAAUCCGUCGCCACGUCCCUCUCUCGUUUAAAAACCGGACCUAUCUUUUAACCAAGUGGCGUGCAGCAGGAACUCUCUGUCUCUCUCUCUGUGUCGGUAGAGUGGAGCCAUCUUUUGCAAGGAUCAAAGCUGAAGACUUGUGGCUGGAAGUUGAGCUUAAAAUGUAAGCGGACGUGGCUGUCGUUGGCUACAAGUCAAGGGGCUGCCCUAGCAAGUUUUGGCAAAGGGGAAAAGACUGAAGUCUUUGCUGAAAAAAUUGCAGGGAGCAGAGGGGUAAAAAAUGAAGAUGCGGAGGAAAGUGAAAGGGGGAAUGGAGUGAGAUAUCAGGCAAAAGGGAGAGACCCUGGAGGGUCUUCCUGAGGUGGGGCGGGGGGAGGACCCAAAAGGAUCGGGAGCUUGCUGAGGGAGAGGGAGCUCGACUGGGAACACGAAGUGAGGUGAGGUCAUUUUGUGUGAAGCUUCUCGAGCUCUUCUGGCCGUUUCUACGGCAGUUCUCUUCUCUUGGCCGAGAAAGUCGAGAAAG
This 789-nucleotide long non-coding RNA is filed under the name Eucalyptus grandis. RNAcentral's name for it is "long non-coding RNA (EGRA_LNC002458)". The record is from RNAcentral. Lineage: Eukaryota; Viridiplantae; Streptophyta; Magnoliopsida; Myrtales; Myrtaceae.